Ochotona princeps (American pika) is the source of this 123-nucleotide small nucleolar RNA. Its record names the gene SNORA74. It matches the Rfam family "Small nucleolar RNA SNORA74". From Rfam's summary of the family: U19 belongs to the H/ACA class of snoRNAs. snoRNAs bind a number of proteins (including dyskerin, Gar1p and Nop10p in the case of the H/ACA class) to form snoRNP complexes. NCBI's taxonomy places the organism in Eukaryota, Metazoa, Chordata, Mammalia, Lagomorpha, Ochotonidae. The record is from Ensembl.
CUCAGCUGUAGGCAACUGCCUAGGCUGCAUUAUACCUAGGCAAGUGUUAUACUUCUGGGAGAAAAGCCGCUAAUAACUGGCAGGCAUCAAGGGCCUGGUUAAUGCCAAAUUUGUGUUAACUAU